GGUUAAAACUCAAAUGAAUUGACGGGGGCCCGCACAAGCGGUGGAGCAUGUGGUUUAAUUCGAUGCAACGCGAAGAACCUUACCUACUCUUGACAUCCAGAGAACUUUCCAGAGAUGGAUUGGUGCCUUCGGGAACUCUGAGACAGGUGCUGCAUGGCUGUCGUCAGCUCGUGUUGUGAAAUGUUGGGUUAAGUCCCGCAACGAGCGCAACCCUUAUCCUUUGUUGCCAGCGGUUAGGCCGGGAACUCAAAGGAGACUGCCAGUGAUAAACUGGAGGAAGGUGGGGAUGACGUCAAGUCAUCAUGGCCCUUACGAGUAGGGCUACACACGUGCUACAAUGGCGCAUACAAAGAGAAGCGACCUCGCGAGAGCAAGCGGACCUCAUAAAGUGCGUCGUAGUCCGGAUUGGAGUCUGCAACUCGACUCCAUGAAGUCGGAAUCGCUAGUAAUCGUGGAUCAGAAUGCCACGGUGAAUACGUUCCCGGGCCUUGUACACACCGCCCGUCACACCAUGGGAGUGGGUUGCAAAAGAAGUAGUGAUAGCUUAA
This 548-nucleotide ribosomal RNA is filed under the name Enterobacter cloacae. RNAcentral describes it as "bacterial SSU rRNA". It matches the Rfam family "Bacterial small subunit ribosomal RNA", at positions 892 to 1443 of the family's 1533-position model. The record is from RNAcentral. Lineage: Bacteria; Pseudomonadati; Pseudomonadota; Gammaproteobacteria; Enterobacterales; Enterobacteriaceae.